GGAUUAGAUACCCUGGUAGUCCACGCCCUAAACGAUGUCUACUAGUUGUCGGGUCUUAAUUGACUUGGUAACGCAGCUAACGCGUGAAGUAGACCGCCUGGGGAGUACGGUCGCAAGAUUAAAACUCAAAGGAAUUGACGGGGACCCGCACAAGCGGUGGAUGAUGUGGAUUAAUUCGAUGCAACGCGAAAAACCUUACCUACCCUUGACAUGGAAGGAAUCCUUGAGAGAUUGAGGAGUGCCCGAAAGGGAACCUUUACACAGGUGCUGCAUGGCUGUCGUCAGCUCGUGUCGUGAGAUGUUGGGUUAAGUCCCGCAACGAGCGCAACCCUUGUCAUUAGUUGCUACGAAAGGGCACUCUAAUGAGACUGCCGGUGACAAACCGGAGGAAGGUGGGGAUGACGUCAAGUCCUCAUGGCCCUUAUGGGUAGGGCUUCACACGUCAUACAAUGGUACAUACAGAGGGCCGCCAACCCGCGAGGGGGAGCUAAUCCCAGAAAGUGUAUCGUAGUCCGGAUUGUAGUCUGCAACUCGACUGCAUGAAGUUGGAAUCGCUAGUAAUCGCGGAUCAGCAUGUCGCGGUGAAUACGUUCCCGGGUCUUGUACACACCGCCCGUCACACCAUGGGAGCGGGUUUUACCAGAAGUAGGUAGCUUAACCGCAAGGAGGGCGCUUACCACGGUAGGAUUCGUGACUGGGGUG
Molecule: ribosomal RNA, 702 nt
Filed under: uncultured bacterium
Lineage: Bacteria
Description: bacterial SSU rRNA
Rfam family: Bacterial small subunit ribosomal RNA
Source: RNAcentral